Molecule: transfer RNA, 74 nt
Filed under: Paramuricea clavata
Lineage: Eukaryota; Metazoa; Cnidaria; Anthozoa; Malacalcyonacea; Plexauridae
Rfam family: tRNA
About the family: Transfer RNA (tRNA) molecules are approximately 80 nucleotides in length. Their secondary structure includes four short double-helical elements and three loops (D, anti-codon, and T loops).
Source: Rfam by way of RNAcentral
GCCCGGUUAGCUUAGUUGGUAGAGCAUCAGACUUCCCAUGUUGAGGGGCAUGGUUUCGAGUCCCAUAUCGGGCU